This 22-nucleotide microRNA is filed under the name Callithrix jacchus (white-tufted-ear marmoset). RNAcentral's name for it is "Cja-Mir-146-P1_3p* (star (passenger))". Lineage: Eukaryota; Metazoa; Chordata; Mammalia; Primates; Cebidae. The record is from RNAcentral. RNAcentral also lists the same sequence under 1 other name.
GCCCUAUGGACUCAGUUCUGGU